RNAcentral lists this non-coding RNA (148 nucleotides) under Pan troglodytes (chimpanzee). The record is from Rfam by way of RNAcentral. Lineage: Eukaryota; Metazoa; Chordata; Mammalia; Primates; Hominidae.
GCCGGGCAUGGUGGCGGGCGCCUGUAAUCCCAGCUUCUCGGGAGGCUGAGGCAGGAGAAUUGCUUGAACCCAGGAGGCAGAGGUUGUAGUGAGCCGAGAUCCCACCACUGCAUUCCAGCCUGGGUGACACAGCAAGACCCUGUCUCAA